GAGAUUAGUUUGAUCCUGGCUCAGAUUGAACGCUGGCGGCAUGCCUUACACAUGCAAGUCGAACGGCAGCACGGGGGCAACCCUGGUGGCGAGUGGCGAACGGGUGAGUAAUACAUCGGAACGUGUCCUGUAGUGGGGGAUAGCCCGGCGAAAGCCGGAUUAAUACCGCAUACGCUCUACGGAGGAAAGGGGGGGGAUCUUAGGACCUCCCGCUACAGGGGCGGCCGAUGGCAGAUUAGCUAGUUGGUGGGGUAAAGGCCUACCAAGGCGACGAUCUGUAGCUGGUCUGAGAGGACGACCAGCCACACUGGGACUGAGACACGGCCCAGACUCCUACGGGAGGCAGCAGUGGGGAAUUUUGGACAAUGGGGGCAACCCUGAUCCAGCAAUGCCGCGUGUGUGAAGAAGGCCUUCGGGUUGUAAAGCACUUUUGUCCGGAAAGAAAACGCCGUGGUUAAUACCCGUGGCGGAUGACGGUACCGGAAGAAUAAGCACCGGCUAACUACGUGCCAGCAGCCGCGGUAAUACGUAGGGUGCAAGCGUUAAUCGGAAUUACUGGGCGUAAAGCGUGCGCAGGCGGUUCGCUAAGACAGAUGUGAAAUCCCCGGGCUUAACCUGGGAACUGCAUUUGUGACUGGCGGGCUAGAGUAUGGCAGAGGGGGGUAGAAUUCCACGUGUAGCAGUGAAAUGCGUAGAGAUGUGGAGGAAUACCGAUGGCGAAGGCAGCCCCCUGGGCCAAUACUGACGCUCA
Molecule: ribosomal RNA, 751 nt
Filed under: uncultured Enterobacteriaceae bacterium
Lineage: Bacteria; Pseudomonadati; Pseudomonadota; Gammaproteobacteria; Enterobacterales; Enterobacteriaceae
Description: bacterial SSU rRNA
Rfam family: Bacterial small subunit ribosomal RNA
Source: RNAcentral